RNAcentral lists this long non-coding RNA (1545 nucleotides) under Pan troglodytes (chimpanzee). Its description in RNAcentral is "long non-coding RNA NONPTRT006266". The record is from RNAcentral. Lineage: Eukaryota; Metazoa; Chordata; Mammalia; Primates; Hominidae.
CACACCUUGGUGGUGGAAUCAGAAAGUCACUCUCAUGGUUACUUUAAUGCGUUGGCUUGACUGGGCCACAGGAAACCCAGAUAUCUGGUCAAAUAUUAUUCUGAGUGUUUCUGAAGGAGCAUUUUUGGAUGACAUUAACAUAUUCAUCAGGAGAGUAAGGCAGAUUGCCCUCCACCAUGUGAGUGGGCCUCGGCCAAUCAGGUGACGGCUUGAAUCAAACAAAAAGACCAGCCUUCCCCCCCCAAGUGAGGGUGACUUCUCCAGUCUACUGCCUUGGACUUCACCUCUGACAUAGGCUCUUCCUGCACAGCGCACUCGCUCCUCCACAACUGCAUGAGCCAAUUCCUUAUCCUAAGCUCUCUCUCUCACUCUCCCUCCAUAUCCUUUUCAUUCUGUUCCUCUGCAGACCCCUCACUAAUACAUUUGCUAAAGGGCAGCUAGCCAUCUACAAGGAGGGUAAUGAAGUGCGGCCUCCCAUCAUGGCACCCCAGAGAGUGACCCAGUCGCAGCCCUGCUCCCCUGCUCAGGGGCCCCCGGAACUCUUACUGGAGCACAUCCUUUCCUGGUCUGGGAAUACAGCAGGAGCUUGGGGAGUCAGGUUUGGCUCAGGUUUGGUGGGAACGAAAACCUCAGCAUUGUCCUUCCGCUUUGCAGACAAAUUCCUUUCCCUUUUAUGACCUGUAGGAAAACAAUUGUUUCAUGUAAGACGCUGAGCGCAAGCAAGUUGGGCAUUCUGUUCAGGCAUUUGUUCAUCAUUCAUUCACUUACUCAUUCAACAAAUGUCUACGGAACUACUUUGUGCAGUUUGGGAUUAGAGAUGUGAAUAAUGCAGGCGACGAAACAAGUUUGCUGAGAGUCAUGGUGUGCCCAGCACCACAUUUUGGGACUAUGUGCUGGUGACCCUUAGAAGUCAGACCCCAGCCUCACCGACCCCUGGUCACUGGGCGCCUCUGAAUGCUGACCUCCAGCCCAAGGUCUGCUCAUCAAACUGUGUGAAAUGAACGCAAGAGUGAAGGAACACAGCGGCGAGUCAAGGACAGAAUAAAUAACUGUCAGAAAGUUCCCCGAGGGGCCACUGCAGCACCGAGCCUCGCCGUCCUUCAGGUGUCCCGAGCACAAGGCCAAGGCCAUCCCUACCUGCGGACGAUCCUCAGAAGUGUUGUUUGCCUGGAGAGUCACAUCCCCACACAGCUCAAAAUCAUCAGAAUAGUCCACAGGAGGUUCGAUGUGGAGCCGUGGGCCAGCUUCUGUUCUGAUCUGCACAGAUUUCUGUACAAAAAUGCAGGCCAUUUCAGAUAAGGUGGAAUGAGGUCUUUAUUCCUCUGCGGGGCAGGGACUGGCACUGGAGAGGUUCAGCCAGGAUCUAUGGGCAUAGAUACCAUGGGGUGGUGUGCCUGCAUGCAACAGCAGUGGUGUCAUGAUGAGCAUGGGCCACAGGCCUCCUCCUCAUCCGGGCCAGCACUGGAUGGGCCAUGCCACCUCGCUCAAGAGUCUACUGUUUCUUGCUGUCCAAAGAACGUGCAGGAGAAUUUUUAAAAAUAACUU